Molecule: ribosomal RNA, 545 nt
Filed under: uncultured bacterium
Lineage: Bacteria
Description: bacterial SSU rRNA
Rfam family: Bacterial small subunit ribosomal RNA
Source: RNAcentral
AGUGAAUAGAUACCCCGGUAGUCCACGCCCUAAACUAUGUCAACUAGGUGUUGGGUGGGUAAAACCAUUUAGUACCGUAGCUAAACGCGUGAAAGUUGACCGCCUGGGGAGUACGGCCGCAAGGUUAAAACUCAAAGGAAUUGACGGGGACCCGCACAAGCGGUGGAUGAUGUGGAUUAAUUCGAUGCAACGCGAAAAACCUUACCUACCCUUGACAUGCCAGGAACUUGCCAGAGAUGGCUUGGUGCCCGAAAGGGAGCCUGGACACAGGUGCUGCAUGGCUGUCGUCAGCUCGUGUCGUGAGGUGUUGGGUUAAGUCCCGCAACGAGCGCAACCCUUGUCGUUAAUUGCCAUCAUUUGGUUGGGCACUUUAACGAGACUGCCGGUGACAAACCGGAGGAAGGUGGGGAUGACGUCAAGUCCUCAUGGCCCUUAUGGGUAGGGCUUCACACGUCAUACAAUGGUCGGUACAGAGGGUUGCCAAGCCGCGAGGCGGAGCCAAUCCCAGAAAGCCGAUCGUAGUCCGGAUUGCAGGCUGCAACUCG